AAGAAGUUAACUGCAGGGCAAGGAGCCCCCACCCAGGACCCAGCAGGACCCCGCGGGCGCGGGGGUAGACGCCCCGCCUUGGGCGGAGGUCCUCCCCUCCAGUUUUCUCGGCCCUGGUGGGACCCUUUGUCCCACAAGCUUCCCGCUGGACCUAUGGCUCCAGCAGGUCAAGAUCCAGAGCAGAAGGUGGAGAGCACUUGAAUGGAGCCCCUUAUCUCUCUCCCAGCCUGGUGAUUGCUGUCGGAGCAGGGAUGUUGGGGCUGCACAGCACAGGAACUCGACACCUGGAGGAAAGCCAGCCUGGUCCCAGCUCUUCUCAGCCUCCAGGCACUGCCCCUCACCACUCUGGGUAGGGGUCUGUUCAGGAUUCCAGAACAUUGGACAAGGUGCUCAGGCUCAUCUGGCUUCCACAGCUGCUUGUGCAGCCCAGCGCUGGAGGACCACCGGCUCCAGGGAUGGAAAGGGAAGUACAUCAUCUGUGGUCCGAAUAGCUCUGCAGGCUGACUGA
This 508-nucleotide long non-coding RNA is filed under the name Ursus maritimus (polar bear). RNAcentral describes it as "lncRNA (ENSUMAG00000003181.1)". The record is from RNAcentral. Lineage: Eukaryota; Metazoa; Chordata; Mammalia; Carnivora; Ursidae.